GGAGAGCUGGGCUUCGAGGCGUCAGUGUGAAGGGAAGGCUAAGGACGCAUCGGUGCUGGAGAGUUGAGAAUAUGCCUUCCCCUCCACCCCCAACCCAGUCACCUUAUUUGAAAAAAAAUUAAAAAACACCUUUUAUUUAAAAACCUAACCCUGGAAGUUUGCUCGCUGCCUGAAAAUCAUAUGCGUGGUUUUUCCUGUUUCCUGCUCUGUAGCUGACAUCAGGGGAGCAACGUGAACACAGGAAAAUGGAAAUCAACAUUUGAAACUUUUAAAUGGAAGCUUUAUUGGGGUUCCACAUAUGGAAAACUGCAAAUAGCAGAAGUAUGUGACUCAAUAAAUUAUUCUGGAGUGACCACAUCCUCUAACUGCCUCCCAGGACAAGACGGAGAAUGUGAACAAUGCUCCUGAAGGCCCCUUUCCCUCAAAGAAUCACUGCAAUUGAAGGAAAAAUGCUCCAUGUCCCCUCUGCCAGUUGGUGUUUAUCAAAGGACAACGGAGGAAGAGAGACAAAGUGCCUGGAUGUGUGUGUUAAUCAAGAGUUGUCAGGACCCUGCCUCUAAAAGAAAGCGCUAAAAUGAUGCUUUUGACAAGACUUUUCUCAAAGUGGAUGCAGUCUAAGGGUUGGAAAACAAGGCCCAAUCAGGCUAGGUCUGACUUGUCGCCUGCUUUUGUAAAUAAAGUUUUAUUGGCUCACAGACA
Molecule: long non-coding RNA, 699 nt
Filed under: Homo sapiens (human)
Lineage: Eukaryota; Metazoa; Chordata; Mammalia; Primates; Hominidae
Description: non-protein coding PANTR1:17
Source: RNAcentral